ACGGGUGAGUAAUGCUUAGGAAUCUGCCUAUUAGUGGGGGACAACAUCUCGAAAGGGAUGCUAAUACCGCAUACGUCCUACGGGAGAAAGCAGGGGACCUUCGGGCCUUGCGCUAAUAGAUGAGCCUAAGUCGGAUUAGCUAGUUGGUGGGGUAAAGGCCUACCAAGGCGACGAUCUGUAGCGGGUCUGAGAGGAUGAUCCGCCACACUGGGACUGAGACACGGCCCAGACUCCUACGGGAGGCAGCAGUGGGGAAUAUUGGACAAUGGGGGGAACCCUGAUCCGGCCAUGCCGCGUGUGUGAAGAAGGCCUUUUGGUUGUAAAGCACUUUAAGCGAGGAGGAGGCUACCGAGAUUAAUACUCUUGGAUAGUGGACGUUACUCGCAGAAUAAGCACCGGCUAACUCUGUGCCAGCAGCCGCGGUAAUACAGAGGGUGCAAGCGUUAAUCGGAUUUACUGGGCGUAAAGCGCGCGUAGGUGGCCAAUUAAGUCAAAUGUGAAAUCCCCGAGCUUAACUUGGGAAUUGCAUUCGAUACUGGUUGGCUAGAGUAUGGGAGAGGAUGGUAGAAUUCCAGGUGUAGCGGUGAAAU
RNAcentral lists this ribosomal RNA (590 nucleotides) under uncultured bacterium. RNAcentral's name for it is "bacterial SSU rRNA". It matches the Rfam family "Bacterial small subunit ribosomal RNA", at positions 102 to 687 of the family's 1533-position model. The record is from RNAcentral.